This is a non-coding RNA of Camellia sinensis, 2709 nucleotides long. NCBI's taxonomy places the organism in Eukaryota, Viridiplantae, Streptophyta, Magnoliopsida, Ericales, Theaceae. The record is from RefSeq and is a predicted model, not a curated record.
UAUUGAUUGUGAAGAUGGUGAAGAAGAUGAAACUUAUAUGGUUUCUGAUUCAAAUGAAGAAGAUGAUGAAUGGAAUGGUGAAGAAGUUGAAGAAGAAAUACAUGAGGAUGAUGUGAACCGUUCUGAUCUUGGUGGAUUGUCAGAUUAUGAAUCAAAUGAUGAUGAAGAGAACUAUUCUAGUAAUGACCAGGAUGUAUAAGCUAUAAAUGCUGAUAGGUUUAUGGAGGGAAAUAUGUUUGAGAUUAAAGAAGGGGAAACAAUUACAUUGAAGAAAUGAAUGGUGUUUGAAGAUGUCUCCCACUUUAGGACUGUUUUGAGGGAAUAUGCCAUUGAGAGGGGGUUCACAUUGGUGAGAUUGAAGAAUGAGAGAGUUAAAGUAACAGCUCAUUGUGGUUCUAGGGGAUGUAAUUGAAGAAUCCAUGCCUCACUUAUUCCUAAUGGAUUAACUUUCAAAAUUAAGUCAUUAGGGCCUGACCAUACUUGUGUGAGAGUAGAGAGGAAUCCUGAAGCAACAUCAACAUGGAUAGCAGAAAAAUUCAUAAGAAUCCUUAAGGGUAAUCCAGGGAUGACUCUUGAAGCUAUGCAAAAUGAAUUGACUGAAAAUUAUGGUGUGGAGGCCUCAAGAAUGCAACUUUAAAGGGGGAAGAGGAAAGCAUUGGAAGCAAUUGAGGGUAAUCAUGCUGCAUCAUAUAGUAAGUUGUCGAAGUAUGCAAAUGAAAUAAUGAAGACUAACCCACGAAGUUUGGUGAAAAUUGAAAAGGACAGUGUUGGUCCUAAAUUAGAUGUAGUUAUGUUCAAGAGGAUAUUUAUCUCACUUACAGCAAUGCAAAAAGGGUUCAAAGAUGGUUGUAGACCUUUUAUAUGUGUGGAUGGGUGUCAUUUGAAAGGUUCUUAUGGUGGAGUCUUGCUAGCUGUCGUGGCCUUGGAUAGGGAUAAUGGUCUAUUUCUUUUAGCAUAUGCUGUGGUAGAGUGUGAAUGCAAGAAAAAUUGGAGAUUCUUCUUGUACCAUCUGCGUACCAUUAUUGAUAAUGGUCCUCAAAGCAAGCCACGGACUAUAAUGUCAGAUGGCCAAAAGGUAAAUUUAUGCACUUUGAAAUGAAAUAAUUUAGUUUGUAAUUUGUCUAAUGAAUUUAUGCAUUUAUAAUAUAACCUUUUGUUUACUUUUAUUUUGUAUUAGGGCAUUGAACCUGCCUUGAAGGAAGUCACGCCUGAAGCAACUCACAGGAGGUGUUGUAGACACCUGUUUAACAAUUUUAAAUCAAAAUUUCCUGGUUUGAAGCUUAGGGGAUCAUUUUGGGCUGUAGCUAGAGCAUAUACUGAGAAAGAUUACAACAUAGUUAUGAGGCAAAUUGAAGAGAUGCCAAAACCAGCCUAUAAAUGGUUAAAUGACUUAAAACUAGAAGUUUGGGCUAGACACACCUUUGAUCCUAGAGUGAAAAGUAACCAUAUCACCAGCAACAUGGUUGAAUCAUUUAACAAUUAGAUUAGGAAUGUAAGAGGGAAAGCUGUCAUUACAAUAUUGGAAAGUAUUAGGACCAAAUUAAUGGGAAAAUUGCGUAAAAGAUUUGAGAAAGCUGCUACAUGGGAAAAUUUGGUGACCCCUACCAUUAGAAAGAAGUUAGAUGAGGUUGUCUUCAAAUCAAGGAUGUGUAAGAUCACAUUGCUGGUGGAAAUGAAUAUCAAGUGAUGGAAGGUGUUACUGUACACAUUGUAAACCUCCUAAGUAGGUCCUGUUGUUGUAGAGUUUGGGACAUUACUGGAGUCCCUUGCAAGCAUACAGCUACUCGUAUUUCUCAUAGGAGAAUGAACAUUGAAACAUUUUGUGAUCGAGUUUAUCAGAGGCAUAAGUUCUUAAGUGCAUAUGGGGAUAUUAUUCAUCCUAUACAUGAUAAGAGUAUGUUGAUGAAGUUCCAGAAGAAGCUUUGAAGCCUCCAAUUCUUAAGAGACUGCCUGGUAGGCCUCCAAAUAGUAGGAGAAUGGAAGUUGGUGAAGCUUCCCCUAGAGUUGGUGAUUCUAGAAGGUCAUGCAUUGUUAAAUGUGUCAUAUGCAAAGAAAUUGGGCACAACAAAAGGACUUGUCAAAGGGCUCCUAUGAAGAGAAAGGGUAAAUCUAUCUCAAUUAGUGGUUCAAGUGUUUCUACAACAGGGCAAACAAGUGGGGUUACAAUAAGCCAAGAAAGUGGAAAAGGUUCAAGUCUAGGAAGGGGAGUUUCUAUUAGAGGGAGUGAUGCAGGUGACAGUUGCACAGGUAGUAAUAGAGGUUCAGGUUGUGGAAUUCUAACUGGAAGAGGUGCAAGUGGUAGAGGUUCUACUUCAAUAGUGGUAGGGGGACAACAUCCUGUAGUGCAGCCCAUUAAAUGGAGUAUGUCUUGAGCAUGGUACUUGGCUCAUAUGGUUGGAAAUUAUGCAGCAUGCCAUCCGAGAUGGAACAAGAAAUGUAAUGUUUCAAGACAAAUUAUAUGACAUAUUUUUAUGUAGGUAAUGUGGUAUAUUUUUGUAAAUGGGGACAAUAUAGUAUAUUUUUGUAUAUAUUCUUGUAAAGGGGAACAUGAUAUAUUUCACUAAAUUGGGAAGAUGUCCCAUUACAUGUUUUGUGAAGGGGAAUAUGAUUAUGUAUGCUCAUUUAUUUUUUGGCCAUAUGGGCAUUAACUGUUAUUAGCACUUUGGGUAAUGCACUUUGUGAAAAUAGAAGAUGAAUAUAUUGAACUCA